Molecule: small RNA, 79 nt
Filed under: Escherichia coli
Lineage: Bacteria; Pseudomonadati; Pseudomonadota; Gammaproteobacteria; Enterobacterales; Enterobacteriaceae
Description: Hfq binding sRNA
Rfam family: STnc490 Hfq binding RNA
Source: RNAcentral
AACCACCAGCUAGGCUGGGGGUUCCGGAAAGCUUUCAGCUUUGAGCCAGUUAUUAAAACCCCUUUUGAUUUGUUAAAAC